RNAcentral lists this ribosomal RNA (488 nucleotides) under uncultured bacterium. RNAcentral's name for it is "bacterial SSU rRNA". It matches the Rfam family "Bacterial small subunit ribosomal RNA", at positions 21 to 507 of the family's 1533-position model. The record is from RNAcentral.
GGCUCAGGAUGAACGCUGGCGGCGUGCUUAACACAUGCAAGUCGAACGAAGCAUUUACGACAGAUUUCUUCGGAUUGAAGUUGUUUAUGACUGAGUGGCGGACGGGUGAGUAACGCGUGGGUAACCUGCCUUGUACUGGGGGAUAGCAGCUGGAAACGGCUGGUAAUACCGCAUAAGCGCACGAUGUCGCAUGACAUAGUGUGAAAAACUCCGGUGGUAUAAGAUGGACCCGCGUCUGAUUAGCUAGUUGGUGAGAUAACAGCCCACCAAGGCGACGAUCAGUAGCCGACCUGAGAGGGUGACCGGCCACAUUGGGACUGAGACACGGCCCAGACUCCUACGGGAGGCAGCAGUGGGGAAUAUUGCACAAUGGGGGAAACCCUGAUGCAGCGACGCCGCGUGGAGGAAGAAGGUCUUCGGAUUGUAAACUCCUGUUGUUGAGGAAGAUAAUGACGGUACUCAACAAGGAAGUGACGGCUAACUACGUG